Molecule: long non-coding RNA, 595 nt
Organism: Gorilla gorilla gorilla (western lowland gorilla)
Lineage: Eukaryota; Metazoa; Chordata; Mammalia; Primates; Hominidae
Exons: 2
Source: RefSeq, a predicted model, not a curated record
GUGGUCAUUCCCUUGCUCUGCAGCCGAGUCUGAGCCCAGAACUCAAAGCCAAACCUGUCAGCUCUCCGAAUGGGUGCACGACCAAGGAUGCCCGGCCUGGAUGUCUACUCAGGUCUGAUCCCUGAGGUGAACCCCAAUGCAACACCAAACUUCAGGGGCACAAGCGAGGAUACAUCUAAGGGACCAGAAUGAGACUUGGCUACAGGCAAAAGGGCUCCUUCCCGUGGCUGCUUCAACCCAGUUCCCCAGGCCCAGCUUCUGGAAUAGACAGUUCCUUCUGGUUAGAUGGGUCCUACCAUGUGGCAGGAAACAGCCAUUGCCUGGCCUCCCCCUGCAUUCCUGUCUGGGUGAAGAGAAGACGUGUUACGGCAGAGCAGGUGGGCAAGGCCAGGGCUACCCCAGGCCCAUGUGGCCUCCUCCUUGCUUGGAAGCGGUGACUCUGAGCACAGGUAGACGCAGAUGUGUGCAGAGAAUGUGCUCUUCGAAGGAAGAACACUGAUGAGCGAGCUCUGUACCAGCCCUUGCCAUGUACAGCCAAGAGCCUAGAAUGACAUGGCCCUUCUCAGCAGUAAUAACAGAUGGUCUCAGCGCCUCA